Molecule: ribosomal RNA, 458 nt
Filed under: uncultured bacterium
Lineage: Bacteria
Description: partial 16S ribosomal RNA
Rfam family: Bacterial small subunit ribosomal RNA
Source: RNAcentral
CCUACGGGCGGCAGCAGUGAGGAAUAUUGGUCAAUGGGCGAGAGCCUGAACCAGCCAAGUCGCGUGAGGGAGUACUGCCCUAUGGGUUGUAAACCUCUGUUGUCGGGGAGCAAAAGCCGGACGUGUCCGGCUGUGAGAGUACCCGAAGAAAAAGCAUCGGCUAACUCCGUGCCAGCAGCCGCGGUAAUACGGAGGAUGCGAGCGUUAUCCGGAUUUAUUGGGGUUAAAGGGUGCGCAGGCGGAUUUUUAAGUCGGCGGUCAAAUCGUGGGGCUCAACCCCAUCCAGCCGUUGAAACUGGGGAUCUAGAGUGUGCGAGAGGUAUGCGGAAUGCGUGGUGUAGCGGUGAAAUGCAUAGAUAUCACGCAGAACCCCGAUUGCGAAGGCAGCAUACCGGUGCACAACUGACGCUCAGGCACGAAAGCGUGGGUAUCGAACAGGAUUAGAUACCCGAGUAGUC